Molecule: ribosomal RNA, 440 nt
Filed under: uncultured bacterium
Lineage: Bacteria
Description: partial 16S ribosomal RNA
Rfam family: Bacterial small subunit ribosomal RNA
Source: RNAcentral
CCUACGGGAGGCAGCAGUGGGGAAUAUUGCACAAUGGGGGAAACCCUGAUGCAGCGACGCCGCGUGAGUGAAGAAGUAUUUCGGUACGUAAAGCUCUAUCAGCAGGGAAGAAAAUGACGGUACCUGACUAAGAAGCCCCGGCUAACUACGUGCCAGCAGCCGCGGUAAUACGUAGGGGGCAAGCGUUAUCCGGAUUUACUGGGUGUAAAGGGAGCGUAGACGGCAGCGCAAGUCUGGAGUGAAAUCCCAUGGCUUAACCAGGGAACUGCUUUGGAAACUGUGCAGCUAGAGUGCAGGAGAGGUAAGCGGAAUGCCUAGUGUAGCGGUGAAAUGCGUAGAUAUUAGGAGGAACACCAGUGGCGAAGGCGGCUUACUGGACUGUAACUGACGUUGAGGCUCGAAAGCGUGGGGAGCAAACAGGAUUAGAUACCCUGGUAGUC